GCCUAUCAUUUCUGCUGUAUAUAAUUUCUCUGUAUCUUCUAUAGUUCUUGUCCUAUACAUAAAAGAGUAAAAGUUGAAUGACAUCUUGCAUCAAUAUUUUUUUCUGUUUAAUGUACAUUAUGUAUAUUAAUGUGUGUUUAAUAAAAAUCUAAACCGUGAGUGCUUGAUAAGCUUCUUGCCCUUAUAGCUGGUCUUUAAGCUUUAAAUGAAUUUUAAUGAUCGACUAAAAAACUAUGAGCACUGUGCAAAUAAGACCCCUGCCCUCCAAAAAAAACAAAACAUGCAC
RNAcentral lists this long non-coding RNA (286 nucleotides) under Mytilus galloprovincialis (Mediterranean mussel). The record is from RNAcentral. Lineage: Eukaryota; Metazoa; Mollusca; Bivalvia; Mytilida; Mytilidae.